CAGCAGCCGCGGUAAUACGGAGGAUCCGAGCGUUAUCCGGAUUUAUUGGGUUUAAAGGGUGCGUAGGCGGCCUGUUAAGUCAGGGGUGAAAGACGGUGGCUCAACCAUCGCAGUGCCCUUGAUACUGAUGGGCUUGAAUGUACUAGAGGUAGGCGGAAUGAGACAAGUAGCGGUGAAAUGCAUAGAUAUGUCUCAGAACACCGAUUGCGAAGGCAGCUUACUAUGGUACUAUUGACGCUGAGGCACGAAAGCGUGGGGAUCGAACAGGAUUAGAUACCCCCGUAGUCCCUGUCUCUUAUAC
RNAcentral lists this ribosomal RNA (301 nucleotides) under uncultured bacterium. Its description in RNAcentral is "partial 16S ribosomal RNA". It matches the Rfam family "Bacterial small subunit ribosomal RNA", at positions 509 to 807 of the family's 1533-position model. The record is from RNAcentral.